UUCUUCAUUUAUUGUCUUAAUAUGUGUGUGUUCUCGUUCGGUUCAGCCUUAUAGCCGCCCAGUUGGUGAACGUUUGGGGGCUUUCUGUUUUGGGAAAGUUCGUCUUGCAUCAGUGUUCUCGGGGUUUUGACAGCGUAUAGUGUGUUUGGAACGCUAAGUGUUAUUCUUCAUUUCUUAUUUCCCUCCUCGUUAAGUAAAACAAAAACACAGUCACCAUGGACGCCAUCAAGAAGAAGAUGCAAGCGAUGAAGCUUGAGAAGGAUAACGCCAUGGAUAAGGCCGAUACCUGUGAAUCUCAAGCUAAGGAUGCCAAUGCCCGCGCCGACAAAUUGCAAGAAGAAUUGCGCGAUUUGGAGAAGAAAUUGGUGCAAGUUGAUGUUGAUUUGGUCACAUCCAAGGAACAAUUGGAAAAGGCCAACCGUGAAUUGGAAGAGAAGGAGAAACAAUUGACCACCACCGAAUCUGAGGUAGCCACUUUGAAUCGUAAGGUGCAACAGAUUGAAGAAGAUUUGGAAAAAUCUGAAGAACGCUCCACCAGCGCCCAACAGAAAUUGCUGGAAGCCACACAAGCCGCUGACGAGAACAACCGUAUGUGCAAAGUAUUGGAGAACCGUUCACAACAGGAUGAGGAACGUAUGGAUCAAUUGACCAACCAAUUGAAGGAAGCCCGUAUGUUGGCUGAGGAUGCUGAUACCAAAUCCGAUGAAGUAUCACGUAAGCUGGCCUUCGUUGAAGACGAGUUGGAAGUGGCUGAAGAUCGUGUCAGGUCCGGUGAAGCCAAGAUCAUGGAACUUGAGGAAGAAUUGAAGGUCGUCGGUAACUCGUUGAAAUCCUUGGAAGUGUCCGAGGAGAAGGCCAACCAACGCGUUGAGGAGUUCAAGCGUGAGAUGAAGACUCUGUCCGUGAAAUUGAAGGAAGCCGAACAGCGCGCCGAACACGCUGAGAAGCAAGUGAAGCGUCUGCAGAAGGAGGUCGACAGGCUAGAAGACCGUCUCUUCCAUGAGAAAGAAAAAUACAAAGCAAUCUGCGAUGAUUUGGAUUCAACAUUUGCCGAACUUACCGGAUAUUAAAUAUCAAAUAUCGCAAAAUAUAUAUUUUUCCUAUAUCAUUCAGUUAAAAAACGACUACAUUCAAAUAUACCAACAACUCCAAUUGUAGUUUUCAAAAUGUUGCCAAACCAAAAAGAAAUCGCAAUUUCCAACAUUCAAAAAUUAUACUUUUCCCAGCAUACACAUACACAAAUAUUUGUGCCACUGAAUAUGGCGGCUUCUUACCUCCACCGUACAACUACACUGCGAAAAAUAUGCCCUUUCGCCCCAUUUACCAUGUUGUCCUUUGAUCAAAAAAUAUUCUCUUUCACAAAACUGUCACUCUCCAUCCACACUCCCGUACAGUACACUGUAAAUACUCACCCCCGUCCACUUGACAUUUAUUUUUUUGGUAAUGCCACGUUCGUCAGCUGCGCUUUUAAAAUCCGCUAACCAACUACUGCUGAGUAAUACUUAAUUACUGUGUACAUAACAACAGCAAAAAUAAAUGCGAGAGUGCCGUUCUAGUGAUGCUCUAUUCUGUAAUAUAAUGUAUAAAAGACGAAUUGGGCGUCAACAAGGACAGAUACAAGUCGCUCGCCGACGAGAUGGACUCCACAUUCGCCGAAUUGGCUGGUUAUUAAAGUGUUCAAAUUGUGAAGACGACAAUGCUUUUCUAAGGAAAAAGUUUGCUUGUAGUGUUUUCGCUUUUGGAGUCUCAAACAUCCAUGUGCAACAACAAUCACAACAACAAAUUGUAACACCUGUAAAUUUAAUAUAAUUGUAUAAAUGUUAAAAACACCAACAACAUAAUGAAGAAAAACUAAAAUUUAUAAAAAAAAUUAUUAACGACAACAACAGCAACAACAACACCUUUAAUUGCUUUUUCAUUUUUCUAGUAAACAAAAAAAUGCAACAAUGCAAUACAAAAGUAAAUGGAGCAUACGCGCUUUAAAUCAUAUUUUAUUAAAUAAAUUAAACAAAAAAACAAAA
This is an RNA transcript of Zeugodacus cucurbitae (melon fly), 2021 nucleotides long. It is a transcript of the gene named tropomyosin-2, with no coding region annotated. The record is from RefSeq and is a predicted model, not a curated record. The transcript has 6 exons. Lineage: Eukaryota; Metazoa; Arthropoda; Insecta; Diptera; Tephritidae.